This 63-nucleotide small RNA is filed under the name Cricetulus griseus (Chinese hamster). The record is from RNAcentral. Lineage: Eukaryota; Metazoa; Chordata; Mammalia; Rodentia; Cricetidae.
AGCACCCGGUAUUCCCAGGUGGACUCCCAUCCAAGUACUAACCAGGCCCGACACUACUUAGCU